CAAGGUUAAAACUCAAAUGAAUUGACGGGGGCCGCACAAGCGGUGGAGCAUGUGGUUUAAUUCGAUGCAACGCGAAGAACCUUACCUGGUCUUGACAUCCACAGAACUUGGCAGAGAUGCCUUGGUGCCUUCGGGAACUGUGAGACAGGUGCUGCAUGGCUGUCGUCAGCUCGUGUUGUGAAAUGUUGGGUUAAGUCCCGCAACGAGCGCAACCCUUAUCCUUUGUUGCCAGCGGUUAGGCCGGGAACUCAAAGGAGACUGCCAGUGAUAAACUGGAGGAAGGUGGGGAUGACGUCAAGUCAUCAUGGCCCUUACGACCAGGGCUACACACGUGCUACAAUGGCGCAUACAAAGAGAAGCAAUCUCGCGAGAGCUAGCGGACCUCAUAAAGUGCGUCGUAGUCCGGAUUGGAGUCUGCAACUCGACUCCAUGAAGUCGGAAUCG
RNAcentral lists this ribosomal RNA (444 nucleotides) under soybean endophytic bacterium EN165. RNAcentral describes it as "bacterial SSU rRNA". It matches the Rfam family "Bacterial small subunit ribosomal RNA", at positions 889 to 1334 of the family's 1533-position model. The record is from RNAcentral.